UACGGGGGGGGCAAGCGUUGUUCGGAAUUACUGGGCGUAAAGGGCUCGUAGGCGGCCAACUAAGUCAGACGUGAAAUCCCCAGGCUUAACCUGGGAACUGCGUCUGAUACUGGAUGGCUUGAAUUCGGGAGAGGGAUGCAGAAUUCCAGGUGUAGCGGUGAAAUGCGUAGAUAUCUGGAGGAAUACCGGUGGCGAAGGCGGCAUCCUGGACCGACAUUGACGCUGAGGAGCGAAAGCGUGGGGAGCGAUCCGG
RNAcentral lists this ribosomal RNA (253 nucleotides) under uncultured bacterium. RNAcentral's name for it is "partial 16S ribosomal RNA". It matches the Rfam family "Bacterial small subunit ribosomal RNA", at positions 524 to 776 of the family's 1533-position model. The record is from RNAcentral.